GGCGAACGCUGGCGGCGUGCCUAAUACAUGCAAGUAGAACGCACAGUUUAUACCGUAGCUUGCUACACCAUAGACUGUGAGUUGCGAACGGGUGAGUAACGCGUAGGUAACCUGCCUGGUAGCGGGGGAUAACUAUUGGAAACGAUAGCUAAUACCGCAUAAUAUUAAUUAUUGCAUGAUAAUUGAUUGAAAGAUGCAACUGCAUCACUACCAGAUGGACCUGCGUUGUAUUAGCUAGUAGGUGAGGUAACGGCUCACCUAGGCGACGAUACAUAGCCGACCUGAGAGGGUGAUCGGCCACACUGGGACUGAGACACGGCCCAGACUCCUACGGGAGGCAGCAGUAGGGAAUCUUCGGCAAUGGACGAAAGUCUGACCGAGCAACGCCGCGUGAGUGAAGAAGGUUUUCGGAUCGUAAAGCUCUGUUGUAAGAGAAGAACGGGUGUGAGAGUGGAAAGUUCACACUGUGACGGUAUCUUACCAGAAAGGGACGGCUAACUACGUG
Molecule: ribosomal RNA, 505 nt
Filed under: uncultured bacterium
Lineage: Bacteria
Description: partial 16S ribosomal RNA
Rfam family: Bacterial small subunit ribosomal RNA
Source: RNAcentral